UACGGGGGGUGCGAGCGUUGUCCGGAAUUAUUGGGCGUAAAGAGCUCGUAGGCGGUUUGUCGCGUCUGCUGUGAAAACUCGGGGCUUAACCCCGGGCCUGCAGUGGGUACGGGCAGACUAGAGUGCGGUAGGGGAGACUGGAAUUCCUGGUGUAGCGGUGAAAUGCGCAGAUAUCAGGAGGAACACCGGUGGCGAAGGCGGGUCUCUGGGCCGUAACUGACGCUGAGGAGCGAAAGCGUGGGGAGCGAACAGG
Molecule: ribosomal RNA, 253 nt
Filed under: uncultured bacterium
Lineage: Bacteria
Description: partial 16S ribosomal RNA
Rfam family: Bacterial small subunit ribosomal RNA
Source: RNAcentral